This 68-nucleotide transfer RNA is filed under the name Marmota monax (woodchuck). RNAcentral describes it as "tRNA.Ala". The stretch from base 5 to 65 matches the Rfam family "tRNA", at positions 6 to 65 of the family's 71-position model. From Rfam's summary of the family: Transfer RNA (tRNA) molecules are approximately 80 nucleotides in length. Their secondary structure includes four short double-helical elements and three loops (D, anti-codon, and T loops). Further hydrogen bonds mediate the characteristic L-shaped molecular structure. tRNAs have two regions of fundamental functional importance: the anti-codon, which is responsible for specific mRNA codon recognition, and the 3' end, to which the tRNAs corresponding amino acid is attached (by aminoacyl-tRNA synthetases). tRNAs cope with the degeneracy of the genetic code in two manners: having more than one tRNA (with a specific anti-codon) for a particular amino acid; and 'wobble' base-pairing, i.e. permitting non-standard base-pairing at the 3rd anti-codon position. The record is from RNAcentral. Lineage: Eukaryota; Metazoa; Chordata; Mammalia; Rodentia; Sciuridae.
GGUUUGUAGCUCAGUGGUAGAGCACUUGCCUAGCAUGUGUAAGGCCCUGGGUUUGAUUCUCAGCACCA